AUGAACGCUAGCUACAGGCUUAACACAUGCACGUCGAGGGGAAACGACAUCGAAAGCUUGCUUUUGAUGGGCGUCGACCGGCGCACGGGUGAGUAACGCGUAUCCAGCCUGCCCAUCACUUGGGAAUAACCUUGCGAAAGUAAGACUAAUACCCAAUGAUAUCCCACGAAGGCAUCGGAAUGGGAUUAAAGAUUUAUCGGUGAUGGAUGGGGAUGCGUCUGAUUAGCUUGUUGGCGGGGUAACGGCCCACCAAGGCAACGAUCAGUAGGGGUUCUGAGAGGAAGGUCCCCCACAUUGGAACUGAGACACGGUCCAAACUCCUACGGGAGGCAGCAGUGAGGAAUAUUGGUCAAUGGGCGAGAGCCUGAACCAGCCAAGUAGCGUGCAGGAAGACGGCCCUAUGGGUUGUAAACUGCUUUUAUAAGGGAAUAAAGUGGGUCACGUGUGACUUUUUGCAUGUACCUUAUGAAUAAGGACCGGCUAAUUCCGUG
This 491-nucleotide ribosomal RNA is filed under the name uncultured bacterium. Its description in RNAcentral is "partial 16S ribosomal RNA". It matches the Rfam family "Bacterial small subunit ribosomal RNA", at positions 29 to 507 of the family's 1533-position model. The record is from RNAcentral.